RNAcentral lists this unclassified non-coding RNA (473 nucleotides) under Hevea brasiliensis (rubber tree). The record is from RNAcentral. Lineage: Eukaryota; Viridiplantae; Streptophyta; Magnoliopsida; Malpighiales; Euphorbiaceae.
GCCUUUCACCUUGAUAACACUGUUCUUAGUCCAAUUCUUGAAAGUUCCAAGAGUCUCACCAUAGAAUUUUACAUAUGCUUUCGAUAGUACAAAAAGAUUAAAGAAGCACAAUUGAAAAUACUCCACUAAGAAUUCUAGGAUUCAAUUAUGGAAUUUUAUGUUUAAUUCCCUAAGCUACAUCAAUUGUGAGCCCUUGCAUACUCAUUUCCAUCAUAAAAUAUCUGACAUUAACAUUAAAUUUUAUGUUUCAUUCAGUGUUAUUAAAUGCGAAGAAAGGUGCUGGGCAAGGCACCAAGCGAGGAGAGGUGACCCCCUAGCGCCUCGCCCAGCUAAGGUGAGUCAGCAUUCCAAAGGCGAGUGUCCAAGGCUCCAAGGCAAGAGGCGUGAGAUUUUAAAGGCGAUACCUCUGAGAAAUAACAAUAACUUUUCAUUUUUUUUCUUUAAUUUUAUGUUUUAAAACAACAAAUAGUUAA